UCUAUAACCACCCUAUAUACAAUAGGCCAUCGUUCUAGUGAGACCUAUGUUAAAACUCUCCCUCCAUUAGAAAAGCCUUUUUCACCACAAGAAGAAAAGGCCUAAGAGGCCUACCAAAACUCUACCGAAUCACUGGCAAGAAACCCUUUAAGCUCAUAAGAACCCCUGAAAUCAUCAUUCCUAGUGGCUCUCUGCACAUUUCAUGGUGUGAACCAACCUUGUUCUAGUGGCUCUUUGUACCCCUUAUGGUGUGGACCGUCGUAGAUACCCACUUCUAACUUCUGUGCUGUAAAAAUUGAUGCCGUUUGUGGAAAUUAAGAAAAGGUCAUGUCUUUUCCUAAGUGAGAAUCCAUAACUCAAUCCCCUCAAGCUUUUUUUUUUAUCCUUUUUUCUAUUUUAGGGUCUUCUAAGUUUUUUCAAUAUUUGAGUUUAGGAGCUUUCAACUUUGAGGGAAGGGGGAGCAAAUAUGUUUCCAUCAAAUAUGUCAAUAGAAGUACUCCUUCCACCCUCAAGUAGCGAUCAAAAAGGGGCCAACAGGGAGCUUACUCUAGCAAACCAAGGGGGCUUUGCUAGCACAUCAAGGGGGAGCCUUAUUUGUACACUAGAGGACCUUUUGCUAGUACCGCAAGGGGGUUCUUUGCCCAUACACUAAGAGGCCCUUUGUCAGCACACCAAGGGAGUCUUUUGUUGGAAAAACAUUUAGAAAAUAUGUGAGAAUUGACAUUGUGGAAUUUUAAAAAUAUUAGUGUUUCGAUAUUUCGGGAGAUAGUCUAUAUCACAAACGACCUUGGGAAGGUGUCUGGAUUUUUCAAUAAACUCGAAUUGAAGUUCAACUUCUUCAAGCUUUCAACCCAUUGAUCUUAUCUAUUAUUCCUGAGCUCUCAAUUGCUAUAGAAGUGAGCUCUAACUCAAAAUACGGAACACAAUAUAUAAACAGAGAUUCUUAGGGGUGGAAAUCAAACUCUUUUAUGGAGACCCCAAAACCAAAGAAUCAACUUUUAUAUUUGAAUUGUAAUCGCUAGACGAUUUUAAUUAUAGUUAUUCUUAAUCUAGAAUCCAAACUCAUGAAAAAUAGAAUUUAUUUGCGUACUAAAAGUGUAAUAGGCCCAAUUUGUCUGGCCCGCAACAAACCCAGAAAAAUAAGUUAAAAACCAAAAUAAAAAAUACAAAUAAAAGAUCCAAAUUUAAAGGUCCAAUGUCCAUUUACAAAUUUUUUUGGCCUGAACCAAACUAAACUCAAACAUUAAAAUCAAACCCCAACUUAAUCCCAGGCCCAACAAAACCCAUUACACCCAAAAUGGACCUAACCAAGGCCCAAUACCCGAGUGAAAGAAAUCAAGCCCGAUAGGCCCGAAUUUUUUCCAAUUUUUGGAAACCCUAGGGUUUCCUAUCGGUUCCGCACCGCAGCUGUAGUCACCAGUAGCCCCAACGAGCGUCCCUCUAUCCACGCCCACGAACGGUUUUUCCACGCCAUGCACAUCUGCAACAGAAAACAACCACAAGCAGCAAUUGACAGCAGAUUACAGCAAAUUACAGCAAGGAAAAUUUGUAUUAUUUUAUUUUAUCCUUAUUUUUCGGUUAUAAAACCGAAUGAAGAUGGAUGUAAGGGGGAUCUUUUUUUUCCUCCUUUUUAUGAAGAGAAUAGCAGAGAAAUACACACAGAUACUAAAAAAUCAAUUUGAAAUUAGUUUUAAGGUGAUUUUAGAUCAUGUUCUUCCUUGAUUUUCGUUUCUAUUUCAUCAUUCUUUAUCUAUUGCAUGAAAAUAAAUCUAUAAGGAGAAAAUGAGACUUAUCUAUUGUUGAAGGAGGCUUCGAAAUCCUUAUUUGCUUCGUCGUAAUCGAAGUUAAGGCGAAGAUUUUGAAGCCUGUGAGCAAGGCUCUCGGAUUUGUGGUCGAACAGGACCAGACUUGGCCUUUGCUUGAUGGCCAUCAGCCGAACAGGGAGGCAAAGCGGUAGGGGAAAGGUGCCUUAGGUUCGGCCGAGUAAAUGGGGAAUAGGUCUUAGGUUUUUCUUUUUUUUAAAUUUGCUUUUAAGUGGCUGAAUAUUGGAUUUUAGGUUUUUAGGUUUGAUUUUGUGCAGAAUUCAAAACGGUGCAAUGUAAAUGGGGAGAGAUCCGCGCGCGCAAACCUGAUCCAUAGGCUGGAUUAGCGCUUUGGCGCUUCAAAUGGUUAAUUUGUGCGGAUAGUCCUUUGCCUUCGCGCUAACUUUUUAAUUAGUCCUUAUUCACAUUUUAUUUGUUUUAAAUUUCUCCUUAGAAUUUACGUGGCAUUUCAGUUUAGCCCGCACCUAAAUGCUGUACUUUGAGAUCUGGAAUAUUUUCGGUUUUGAUCCCUACGCAUUUGUGCUCAUUGCGCUUUAGUCUUUUGAAAUUUCAAUGGUUUAAUUUAUUAAUUAUCUCUUUCAUUUUAACUUUAUUUUAAUUGAGUUUUGUUAUUUUUGUAUAAUUCAUUAUUAUUUUUAAAAAAUCCACUUAGCAUUCAUUUUUAAUUCUUGUUUAUUUAUUUUUAUAUUUUUAGCUAUUUUGAUAAUCUUAUUUUGUUUUUU
This 2545-nucleotide long non-coding RNA is filed under the name Gossypium barbadense (sea-island cotton). RNAcentral's name for it is "long non-coding RNA (GBAR_LNC008424)". The record is from RNAcentral. Lineage: Eukaryota; Viridiplantae; Streptophyta; Magnoliopsida; Malvales; Malvaceae.